Molecule: ribosomal RNA, 437 nt
Filed under: uncultured Clostridium sp.
Lineage: Bacteria; Bacillati; Bacillota; Clostridia; Eubacteriales; Clostridiaceae
Description: partial 16S ribosomal RNA
Rfam family: Bacterial small subunit ribosomal RNA
Source: RNAcentral
ACGGGAGGCAGCAGUGGGGAAUAUUGCACAAUGGGCGAAAGCCUGAUGCAGCAACGCCGCGUGAAGGAAGAAGGGUUUCGGCUCGUAAACUUCUAUCAAUAGGGAAGAAAUAAAUGACAGUACCUAAAUAAGAAGCCCCGGCUAACUACGUGCCAGCAGCCGCGGUAAUACGUAGGGGGCAAGCGUUAUCCGGAAUUACUGGGUGUAAAGGGUGAGUAGGCGGCAAUGUAAGUAAGAUGUGAAAGCCCGCAGCUUAACUGCGGGAUUGCAUUUUAAACUAUGUAGCUAGAGUACAGGAGAGGAAAGCGGAAUUCCUAGUGUAGCGGUGAAAUGCGUAGAUAUUAGGAAGAACACCAGUGGCGAAGGCGGCUUUCUGGACUGAAACUGACGCUGAGGCACGAAAGCGUGGGGAGCAAACAGGAUUAGAUACCCUGGUA